Molecule: ribosomal RNA, 256 nt
Filed under: uncultured bacterium
Lineage: Bacteria
Description: partial 16S ribosomal RNA
Rfam family: Bacterial small subunit ribosomal RNA
Source: RNAcentral
UACAGAGGGUGCAAGCGUUUGUUCGGAAUUAUUGGGCGUAAAGGGGCGCGUAGGCGGUGCGGUAAGUCUGUAGUGAAAUCUCUGGGCUCAACUCAGAGUCUGCUGCAGAAACUGCCGUGCUUGAGUGUGGGAGAGGUGAGUGGAAUUCCCGGUGUAGCGGUGAAAUGCGUAGAGAUCAGCAGGAAUACCCGUGGCGAAGGCGGCCCCCUGGGCCGAACCUGGACGCUGAGGCGCGAAGGCUAGGGGAGCGAACGGG